Molecule: non-coding RNA, 2068 nt
Filed under: Pan troglodytes (chimpanzee)
Lineage: Eukaryota; Metazoa; Chordata; Mammalia; Primates; Hominidae
Source: RNAcentral
CCAAAUCAUAGAUCAAGAUAUUUUAUUUAUGUAUGUCUUUUAAAUGAAGAGUGGUUAGGAUAGUUCUGAUUAUUGCACAUAAAUAUUGCCUUUCACUAGAUUAUUGUUUCGGGCCAAAUUUUAGACUAUUAUUUUAAAAAAGAGUAGCUUAGUUUAAUCCAACCUUUCCAGAUAUUUAGAAAUUAUUGAAAUGUAUAUUUUGUGAAGAUGGUCUUAUGAAAGUUGUUCAGCUAGGAACAUGUCCUUCACCAGUGGAAUUCUUAGAAGCUUUCCUUGGGCUUCACUGGGUGCUAAUAGACCAUGAUCGUAUUGCUCUGUAUAUAAUGGUACAAAUUUUGUUUUAUAACACUUAGUCUUAAUAGAAUGGGAAUAUUUUAUCUUACUAACGUAGUCAUUAGCUGGCCACUCUCUGUGUCCAUUGGACCUUAUAGGGUAAAGGGAGGGCAGUGCGUAUUUGAAGCCUGUGCACGUGACACACAAAGGGCUUAGCAACCUCCGUGUUUUCCCAGCACAGGAUACCCAUUCUUCCUGAAUGUUUCAUUGUUAAAUUAGAUUGUGUGUGUGUGUGUGUGUGUGUGAUUUUAUAUUAACAUACAGAUGUAUGUAUUUUAGUUGCGUUUUUUUUCUUAAAAUGUUAUUUUUUCUCUUUUUCUUUUAUGUCAGGUGAUGAUAGAGCCCCUAGGGAAGCGAAACUGUCCAUGCCCUUGCCUUAACUUUCAGAUACGAUAAAAACAACAUUUAUAAAAUACUUGUCUUAGAAAUAUUAGCUAAAAUUAUGUUGGGGAAAGUAUGUUUGAAAAUAGAAUUGUAAGCUACCACAUUGUGAUAAAUAUUACUAAAUUUGUUUAUUGACUUGUCAGGAAGCAAGAGAAUGAAUUAAAGAAAACUCCAGAGAAUGAGCUGACAACCUACUCCCUGGUCACUGGCUCUCCAUGCCUACCUGUGGUCUCUUGGACACCCUUGCAGAAGAUGACUUCCUGGGAACUCUUCUGGGAGUGAAUGUUAUCAGCAAAUUCCCAAAACAACACCCCUUAGACAAAAAGCCUCCUCACCUAUGCAUUGCCUAGACCACCCACUAAAGGUGAUGGCCACAAAGAGGUGGAUUUGUUGAGUUGGUGCCAUUCCUUCUACUGCCAGCUUCACCAAAACAAUGACACAGUCUUCCUUCUGCAUGGAGACUCUUCUCUUUCCUGUGUUGCAGUGGAUGCCUCCUGCAGAUAAGAAAUGCUUAACUGAGAAAUGCUCAUGUUGGGAUAUCAUCGAUGAGACUUUAAUUUGGGCAUGGUGACUGUUUCCCUUGCUGCCACUUGACUCAAUCCCAGGAGCCUCAGUAGAGGAUAUAAUAUUACACAAGAUGCUCAAAAUGGUGGAAUUGCUCAGUGCUCCCAUAAAUAUACAUUUAUAAUUUUCAUUUGCCACAUGGUAAACUGAAAAAUACAGACUAUAUUAAAAAGAAACUGCAUGAUUUUUUUUCAAAAAUUCAAAGCAUAUUUAAAUAAUAUAUAAAUUAAAUGCCCUCCUCUCUUCCAAUUCUGUCCCUAUACUUUUCCUCUAUUAAGUGAACUACAUGCAUUCUUUUAGUGGAUAGAUGCACACAAACACACAAGCCAUUAUGGGGAAGGAUCCACGUGUGUGGCCAUAUUGUAACACAUUUUUCUGCAAAUUACCUCUUUCAUUUAACAGCCCUUAUUCAAUGGCCUUUUUCUUUUUCAGUAGUACAUACACAUCUGUGUCAUUUGUUGAAUGACGACAUGAAUGUUUUGUAGAUAAAAUAUAAUUAAAUGUUUUAAGCAUUUCUCACUCAUAGAUAUUUAUGUUAGCACCAAAUUUCUGUGCAAUGAACCUCCCUAUAUAUCAGUAAUUUUGCAUUUGUCUAUAAUAUCAUAAUAAAUUACUUAUCAGUUGAAUUACUGGGAUUAAGUAUGUGCACACUUUAUAUUUAUAUUUUGAAAAUUAUUGCAAGAUUGCCUUCAAAAAUGUGGUUAACAACUUUAUCUUCAAAUGGCAAUGAAUGAGAUUGCCAGCUUUCCUACAACCUCACAGACAAUGGAUUUUAUAAAUAUUUAAC